GACGAACGCUGGCGGCGUGCUUAACACAUGCAAGUCGAACGAAGAGCGACGGAAGCUUGCUUCUAUCAAUCUUAGUGGCGAACGGGUGAGUAACGCGUAAUCAACCUGCCCUUCAGAGGGGGACAACAGUUGGAAACGACUGCUAAUACCGCAUACGAUCUAACCUCGGCAUCGAGGAUAGAUGAAAGGUGGCCUCUACAUGUAAGCUAUCACUGUAGGAGGGGAUUGCGUCUGAUUAGCUAGGUGGAGGGGUAACGGCCCACCAAGGCGAUGAUCAGUAGCCGGUCGGAGAGGAUGAACGGCCACAUUGGGACUGAGACACGGCCCAGACUCCUACGGGAGGCAGCAGUGGGGAAUCUUCCGCAAUGGACGAAAGUCUGACGGAGCAACGCCGCGUGAGUGAUGACGGCCUUCGGGUUGUAAAGCUCUGUUAAUCGGGACGAAAGGCCUUCUUGCGAAUAGUGAGAAGGAUUGACGGUACCGGAAUAGAAAGCCACGGCUAACUACGUG
This 510-nucleotide ribosomal RNA is filed under the name uncultured bacterium. RNAcentral's name for it is "partial 16S ribosomal RNA". It matches the Rfam family "Bacterial small subunit ribosomal RNA", at positions 28 to 507 of the family's 1533-position model. The record is from RNAcentral.